CCUACGGGUGGCAGCAGUGAGGAAUAUUGGUCAAUGGACGCAAGUCUGACCCAGCAAUGCCGCGUGCAGGAAGACGGCUCUAUGAGUUGUAAACUGCUUUUGUACGAGGGUAAAUCCCGAUACGUGUAUCGGGUUGAAAGUAUCGUACGAAUAAGGAUCGGCGCACUCCGUGCCAGCCGCCGCGGUAAUACGGUGGGUUCAAGCGUUAUCCGGAUUUAUUGGGUUUAAAGGGUGCGUAGGCGGUUCGGUAAGUUAGAGGUGAAAUCCCGGGGCUCAACUCUGGCACUGACUCGGAUACUGUCGGGCUAGAGUGUAGUGGCGGUAAGCGGAAUGUAUGGUGUAGCGGUGAAAUGCAUAGAGAUCAUACAGAACACCGAUGGCGAAGGCAGCUUACCAAACUACGACUGACGUUGAGGCACGAAAGCGUGGGGAGCAAACAGGAUGAGAUACCCCAGUAGUC
RNAcentral lists this ribosomal RNA (460 nucleotides) under uncultured bacterium. RNAcentral's name for it is "partial 16S ribosomal RNA". It matches the Rfam family "Bacterial small subunit ribosomal RNA", at positions 338 to 795 of the family's 1533-position model. The record is from RNAcentral.